CCCUCCGGACGCCCGGCCAACGGCGGCGGCGGCGGCGGCUAGUCCGCGGCCCUGCCGGGAGGGAAGGCGACGCGGCGGUCUUCCCGGGCGACGCGGAGAACAGUAGUUCCAGAGAACUGCUGGUUUAUAUUUUAACUCUUGCCAAGUUGUGAAAAUAGUGAAGGAUGCUUAGACUACGUAACAUUCAAAUUGCUCUCUGGUUAUUCAUCUUCAGAAGACUGGAUUUCUGGAUAUCUACUCCACUCCUUCUCUGUGGACUUUUAAAACAUGACAGUGCAAACCUGUAACACUGGCAAUCAUCCAUGAACCUUUAAUUACGUCGACUGAUUGCGUUUGAAGCUUCCUCAGGGAAUAAACAAUGACAUCAGCAGUAGUUGACAGUGGAGGUUCUGUUUUGGAGCUUUCCAGCAGUGGAGUAGAAAAUCAAGAGGAAAGUGGGAAGGUUUCUGAAUAUCCAGCAGUGAUUGUGGAGCCAGUUCCAGGUGCCAGAUUAGAGCAGGGCUAUGCAGCCCAGGUUCUGGUUUAUGACGAUGAGACUUAUAUGAUGCAAGAUGUGGCAGAAGAACAAGAAGUUGAGACCGAGAAUGUGGAAACAGUGGAAGCAUCAGUUCAUAGCAGUAAUGCACACUGUACGGAUAAGACAAUUGAAGCUGCUGAAGCCCUGCUUCAUAUGGAAUCUCCUACCUGCUUGAGAGAUUCAAGAAGUCCUGUGGAAGUGUUUGUCCCUCCUUGUGUAUCAACUCCAGAAUUUAUCCAUGCUGCUAUGAGGCCGGAUGUCAUUACAGAAACUGUAGUGGAGGUGUCAACUGAAGAAUCUGAACCAAUGGAUACCUCUCCUCUUCCUACGUCACCAGAUAGCCAUGAACCAAUGAAAAAGAAGAAAGCUCAAAGGGCUUCGCAGAUUAUCAGAUCCUCUGCAAUCGUUGGCCGUAAACCAAAGACCCAGCAGUCGCCAAUUUCCAAUGGGUCUCCUGAGUUAGGUAUAAAGAAGAAACCCAGAGAAGGAAAAGGAAAUACAACCUAUUUGUGGGAGUUUCUUUUAGAUCUACUUCAAGAUAAAAAUACUUGUCCCCGGUAUAUUAAGUGGACUCAGAGAGAAAAAGGCAUAUUCAAGCUUGUGGAUUCAAAGGCUGUCUCUAAGCUUUGGGGAAAGCAUAAGAACAAGCCAGACAUGAACUAUGAAACUAUGGGACGAGCUCUGAGAUACUAUUACCAAAGGGGUAUUCUCGCAAAGGUUGAAGGACAGAGGCUUGUGUAUCAGUUCAAGGAUAUGCCCAAGAACAUAGUGGUCAUAGACGAUGACAAAAGUGAGGCCUGUAACGAGGAUGUAGCAACGGCUGCUGCCGGGGAGUCACUAGAGCGCGUGUCACUGUCUGCAGAAAGCCUCUUGAAAGCAGCAGCUUCUGUGCGUGGUGGCAAAAACUCGUCUCCUCUGAACUGCUCCAAAGCAGAGAAGGGUGUAGCCAGAGUUGUGAACAUCACUCCCCCUGGUCAUGAGGCUUCGUCCAGGUCUCCUACUACUACCGCAUCUGUGUCAGCAACAGCAGCUCCAAGGACAGUUCGUGUGGCAAUGCAAGUGCCUGUUGUGAUGACAUCGUUGGGGCAGAAAAUUUCAACUGUGGCCGUUCAGUCAGUUAACGCAGGUGCACCACUGAUAACCAGCAGUAGCCCAACAACAGCGGCCUCUCCGAAGGUAGUGAUUCAGACAAUCCCUACUGUGGUGCCAGCCUCCACUGAAAAUGCAGACAAAAUCACCAUGCAGCCUGCCAAAAUUAUUACCAUCCCAGCUACACAGCUCGCACAGUGUCAGCUGCAGACAAAAUCAAACCUGCCUGGAUCAGGAAGCAUUAACAUUGUUGGAACGCCACUGGCGGUGAGAGCGCUCACCCCGGUUUCAAUAGCCCACGGCGCGCCUGUCAUGAGGCUGGCAGUGCCGCCUCAACAGGCAUCUGGCCAGACUCCUCCCCGAGUUAUCAGCGCCGUCAUAAAAGGGCCAGAGAUUAAAUCGGAAGCAGUGGCCAAAAAGCAGGAACAUGACGUGAAAACUUUGCAGCUGGUACAGGAAGAAAAACCGGCAGAUGGAAAUAAGACAGUGACCCACGUAGUGGUUGUCAGUGCGCCUUCAGCUCUUGCCCUUCCCGUAACUAUGAAAACGGAGGGACUGGUGACAUGUGAGAAAUAAAAGAGCAGCUCUCCCGUGGGCGCUAGAAUGUUAGUGCUAGUCCUGACAUUAAGCAUUUGCAAGGACGUCAUCAAGAGAAGUCAGAAGACUUUAAAACAUUUUUAAUGCAUAUAAGAAAACAAUCAGACUUACUGGAAAUAAAUUACCUAUCCCAUGUUUCAGUGGGAAGUGAACUACAUGUUGAGACGCUGACAGAAAACUGCCUCUUACAGUAGGAAACAACUGAACCCGUCAAUGAGAAGAAGGAUUGAAAGGGACCAAGCAACUCACUACAAUAUCAAGUUACACUAAGACUUGGAACACUAACAUUCUUGUAUCAGAGAAGAACCACAUAACAAUGACUUGAUGCGGCUACAUUUUCCAGUCUGGCCAGGCUUUUGAACAGUGAUCAGCAGUCGGCCCAUUUAUUCCUUGGGUCGCCUUCCAGCAGCAGUCCCAGCCUUUUCGCCACCACCCUGCUUACCAAAUGGCCAGUAUACCUCUUCAGAGAGAACGCUGAGGUCGUGAGCUGUGAACUCCGUUUCUGGACCCCUUGCUGCAAGAGCAUCUACGUAUUCCAGCCUCCGUCCUCAACAAACAGCCACCUCGGGGAGGAGGCAGGUGUGCCUCCCUUCCCGUACUCACCACCUUCUCCCCUUUCGCACCUCCUUGGUUGCCUUGUUCCAACAGCCCGUAUUCUUCAGAAGCCUGCGGUCAGUUCUGCUCAGAAACGCUUCCCACUGGGGUCUCCAGCAACCCAACAGUCACAUCAAACAGGGGCUUCGUUUUUUCAUGUGAUCAGCCUACGUCUUAAAAUUCCCCUUUGAUUUCCCGUGACCCCCUCCUUCUGGUUUACUUCCUGCCUGACCGACUCUACUUUCUUAGUCCACUUUGUUUUCCUUCAGCUUUCCCACUUAAAGGCAGCACUUACCACGGGGCUCUCUUCCCCGUAGUUAUAUUUACUAUUACGAUUUUGCUUCAACAUAACUGUUAGAUAACCUCAUCCACGCACGUGGUUUUUACUACCAAAUCUAUUGUUCUAGGCUAGACUGAAAGAUGGGUUUAAUUACCUGCCGGCUGCUUCCUCCUGAGUGUCCAAUGGAACUCUCCUCUCUCGAAAAUCUACUCCUCUUAGCUUAACAAAUGACACCGCGUGAAGGCCGUUCUAGACCCUUUGCUUCCUAUAUCCAGUCUUUUACCAAGUCCUGUUGAUGGUACCUUCUAAACAGCUUCCUUUCCCAUCUUCCCCACCUUACUGCUUUGUCUUCUCAAGCCUCUCUGUAGUCCGUCUCCCGUGCUACCAGAUGAGAGCUUUCUAAAAUGUGUUCUUCCGUCACUUCCUUGCGACUGCUUUAAAUUCUUCAACGGCAUCUCUUGCUAAAAAGAUAAAUAUCCAAAGCAUAAAACUCUUUAUUAAUAAAGUCCUUUGACCUAGCACCUGCCUACGUUCCCAAGCCUUAGUCUCUGGCCACCCCCGUUUUGGGCAUCUCCGGGCCACAGACCUACUGACAUGUAUUUUUUCCCAAAUAUUUUAGGCACCCAUACCUCGUUGGGCCAUGCCACUGAUGGCUUCUCUCUGGACCGCUUUUCCUUCCUUCACCUAGAUUUGAGUUGGAGGUGACAGACAUCAAAAUAUUUCUGAAAUAAAUAGGCUUGGAAACCAUUCAGGGUGGGGAGUGGUCUUAACUCUGAGUGAAUUCUGAGUAAAAGAUUGAAAAGCAUCAAGUAUAUAAAGACAACACGGGCUAGGGGAGAGGAAGAGUAACCCAGCAAUGGAGACCAGGGACUAUUCAUGGUUAACAGGACAGCUGAGGUCAAGAUAACGGUGGGCCAACAGUAUCACGCGUACCAGGAAGGGCCAAGCAAAUAAGAAGCCACCAGCAUUGACACAGCGACAAGAGAGGGGCAGUUCCAGUAAGGGGUUGGCCGUGAAACCAGGAUGUAAGGGACAACGGCGCCUGAUUCGUUACCAGCCACUCGCCUCUGACACCUGGCAUGCUUCAGGGAGUGCGUCUCUGAUCACUGUAUACGAACAAGUCGUGUUUAACGAUAACAAAAACAAAAUUCGGGCUUUUACCUACAAAGCAUCCCGUGAUCCUUUCAGCCCCCUGGUCUAUCUUAUGGGAGGGCAUUACAGAGCAUAUUUUUGGGAGGCAAGAGGAGCCCUACUUUUAGUUCCACAGCCAACACGGCAAGUUCACAGUGCAGGUCCUUUGUGGUUGUGGUUCAUCUGUCCUUUAGUCCCUCGGUUAUAUCGUUGUCCUCCACAGUUGUAACCUAAUUCUGUGCGGACUCGGUGCACAGUGCCGCCAGUCCUUACGAGAAUGAGAUACGCUUCCCCGUUUGCAAGUGCACUGACUCGCCUCCUGCAUCACACCAGAAACCUCUGAAAAACAAGUGCAGCAGGGAGACUCACGGGCAUAUACUUCCUUUUACUGUGCUGCACUCUGCAGGUGCUUCGUUUUAUACAAAUGGAAGGUCUGCGGCAACACUGCGGUCGGGCAAGUCUAUCGGCGCCCUUAUAUCCCACAGCAUUUCCUCACUUCCUGCCUUGUGUCUUUGGCAACGCUCCCGGUAUUUCAAACCCUCCAGAGAAGAUUACGGCUUACCGAAGGGUCAGAUGAUGGCUAGAUUCUUCUAGCAAUAAAGUAUUUUUCAAUUAAGGUA
RNA transcript from Delphinapterus leucas (beluga whale), 4828 nucleotides. It is a transcript of the gene named E74 like ETS transcription factor 2, with no coding region annotated. Lineage: Eukaryota; Metazoa; Chordata; Mammalia; Artiodactyla; Monodontidae. The record is from RefSeq and is a predicted model, not a curated record.